CCAUCGUCUAGUGGCCUAGGACACUACCCUUUCACGGUAGAUACAGGGGUUCAAAUCCCCUUGGGAACGCCA
Molecule: transfer RNA, 72 nt
Filed under: Pseudomonadota bacterium
Lineage: Bacteria; Pseudomonadati; Pseudomonadota
Description: Proteobacteria bacterium tRNA-Glu
Rfam family: tRNA
About the family: Transfer RNA (tRNA) molecules are approximately 80 nucleotides in length. Their secondary structure includes four short double-helical elements and three loops (D, anti-codon, and T loops).
Source: RNAcentral